AUUAAACGCUGGCGGCAUGCCUUACACAUGCAAGUCGAACGGCAGCACGGGGGCAACCUUGGUGGCGAGUGGCGAACGGGUGAGUAAAGCAUCGGAACGUGCCCUGGAGUGGGGGAUAACGUAGCGAAAGUUACGCUAAUACCGCAUAUUCUGUGAGCAGGAAAGCAGGGGAUCGCAAGACCUUGCGCUCUGGGAGCGGCCGAUGUCGGAUUAGCUAGUUGGUGGGGUAAAGGCCUACCAAGGCGACGAUCCGUAGCGGGUCUGAGAGGAUGAUCCGCCACACUGGGACUGAGACACGGCCCAGACUCCUACGGGAGGCAGCAGUGGGGAAUUUUGGACAAUGGGCGAAAGCCUGAUCCAGCCAUGCCGCGUGAGUGAAGAAGGCCUUCGGGUUGUAAAGGCUCUUUCGGUUGGGGAGAAUAGCAUAGGCUAAUACCCUGUGUAGAUGACGGUACC
Molecule: ribosomal RNA, 456 nt
Filed under: uncultured bacterium
Lineage: Bacteria
Description: bacterial SSU rRNA
Rfam family: Bacterial small subunit ribosomal RNA
Source: RNAcentral